CCUACGGGAGGCAGCAGUGAGGAAUAUUGGUCAAUGGACGAGAGUCUGAACCAGCCACGCAGCGUGAAUGAUGACUGCCCUCGGGGUGGUAAACUCUUUUUAUAUGGGAGUAAAAUGUUCCACGUGUGGGAUUUUGUAUGUACCAUAUGAAUAAGGGUAGGCUAACUCAGUGCCAGCAGCCGCGGUAAUACGGAGGGGGCGAGCGUUGUCCGGAUUUAUUGGGUUUAAAGGGAACGUAGGUGGAUUGGUAAGUCAGUUGUGAAAGUUUGGGGCUCAACCGUAAUAUUGCAGUUGAAACUGGCAGUCUUGAGUACAGGAGAGGUGAGCGGAAUUCGUGGUGUAGCGGUGAAAUGCGUAGAUAUCACGAAGAACACCGAUUGCGAAGGCAGCUUACUGGACUGCAACUGACGCUGAGGCUCGAAAGUGUGGGUAUCAAACAGGAUUAGAUACCCGAGUAGUC
RNAcentral lists this ribosomal RNA (460 nucleotides) under uncultured bacterium. Its description in RNAcentral is "partial 16S ribosomal RNA". It matches the Rfam family "Bacterial small subunit ribosomal RNA", at positions 338 to 795 of the family's 1533-position model. The record is from RNAcentral.